GGCGAACCGAGAUCGCAGAGGUGUUGACGGUGACAUCGACGUGGCUCUUGAAAUAAAUUCACUACACGACAUGGAGACAAGAAUGAAUAAUGUCAACGAAGAGUAAACGCUU
Dreissena polymorpha is the source of this 112-nucleotide long non-coding RNA. RefSeq lists it as uncharacterized. The record is from RefSeq and is a predicted model, not a curated record. NCBI's taxonomy places the organism in Eukaryota, Metazoa, Mollusca, Bivalvia, Myida, Dreissenidae. The transcript is spliced from 3 exons.